CGUUGCAACCGGGUCUAAGAUUACGUUUGUGUUUCGAGUGCAAGUACCAGCAAACUGGCUAUUAUAACCCCUCUAUGCGGACCGGCAAAGUAGUGCCAGUGCGUACAUCUCUCGCGUAAAAAAAAAUGUGCAUAAUACCUUAACACGUAACUCUACACAUAAGUAUCUCUAAAGCACACAGACGGGUCCUAAUUAAUUAGCACCUUACAAUUAAUCGAUUUGCAUAAAGAUUGCCAUUUCGCACGUACCACUAGGCGUGAGCCAAUUCUUGGCCAAUCCUUCAGAAUGGGUAUCUGCCACUGUGACGUAAGAAGUCUUAAAUGUGUGCUAGACUUGCCACAUACUUCUUUGUGCAUGCACCUCUUAUUUUCAUUCUGUUGUAGACAAGUAUCAUGAGUCGCGUUUGUCAUUGUGACAUCGCUGCGUGGAUGUCUGGCAGUGCGUCUGCCCGAUUUGGUGUUUGAAUUUUGCAUAGCUUGUGAAAGGUGUAUUCUACAAACAUGAAAAAAAAAGUAAUGACAAAAUAUCAGAAAUGUAACCUUUGUGGCCGAUGGGCAAGCAUUUUGUGGGAUUUCACGAUGCGCAGGAUGGAAGUAAACAUAAUUGUACGCAUCGCCGUUAGUUACACAGGAUUUGAUUACACGUCUUGUUUGAUAUAAAUUCCAACGUAUGCUUGGGAUCUGUUUAAGUAUGCUUUCAGGUGACAUGCAUCACUCAUUCCGAAGUGAUAAUUUGGGCCAACUGGCAGAUUCGUAGUAUAAAAAAGGGUGAUGAUGCGGGAAACAAAACUCUGCUCCGGACCAUCUAUUCAGAUUUUGUGCGUUAUUACUUUUCAUAUUCCCUGUUUGUUAUUUGUAAGCCAAUUAUGCAUACGCUCCAUUGUUUUGGAGAAAACCAUAUACAAUGUAUAUGUAUGCAAUAUACAACUAUAUGUAUACGACCGAGAGCAUUUCUGGCGCUCUGUCAAGCUCGCUCUUUGCGUAGUCUGAAGAGCGCUGUGGGCCGUAUAUUUCAUUGAGUCGGGUGCCGAGUCUCGCGAAAUCUCGAGAAAGAGAAAUUAUUGUAAGUGAUCGCCCCAGAAUUCGCGCUUACUUAUGCUAAACGACGAAAACAGAAAAAUAAAGGCAUACUAGCAAUGGCGGGCACAAGCGAGGCUGGUUGUCCUGUCGUUUCAUUUAGUGGAUUGCACCUGACGCCAUAAUAUUCGAGGGAUGCGCCCAUAGAAGUGUCGAUGUCUUCCUCUCCCGAACAAAACGGCGCCGGAUGUCAUAAUGAGUUAUACUUCUUGGAGGGCUGAACACUGUUGAUAAACUAUAAUUUCCGAUAGAUCAUGGCAGCCUUUCACGGUGUCCAGAAUAGAACUCCAAGACUUCGCGUCCCCAGGUCUUUCAGCGUGCUUCUCAUGUACACGUGCGAUCUCUUUUCUUUUUCAACGGUACCAUGAACGAACGGCGCGAGACCGACCUGCACCAAUCUGUCAAGCAAUGACGAUGCUGGCCUUUCGUGCAUCGUCACCAGGACCAGCGGGGGAGGAAUCGGCAGUGGCCGGCUGUGCUAGCCAGAGCAGCAAGCCCUGGUGGCCAGCUGUUCUAGAGGGCUGGUGACUUGCCCGCCCUGUGGAUGUUGUGACCAGCUGUUCUGGCGACCUGGUAUCAUGCUUGCCUGCUGUUCGACUUGCGGAUCUUGUGGAUAGCUCUUCUAGCGACCUGGGGCGAGGAGUGGGUCAUGGUGGCUGUGACCUGCCCGUUCGAGAACCGGCCCGCAGCCCUGAACGCGGCCUGCGAUGCGAAGAAUGAGACGCCAACCUGUCCAAAUUCCAGAGGGUGUCCGUGGCGGCGAUUGUCGUUCAAGAAAUCGGAUCUUCGAACCCAGGAACGACCACGUGAUGCGCCGCUUCUGCAGCAGGAAGUACCUGCGGCUCUUGAAAAAGCUCGCAGUCAGUGAGACCAUCGCAGCCUAUCGCGUUCUCGCAACGUCUACGCAGUGCACAUCACCGCCAAGCGAAUAAACUUCUCUAGGCAGUCACAAACUACACUGACACACGCAUUUAUGCCAGUCCAAAAGCUUCAAACAAUGUGCAACAAACAGCACGCACCUUCAUGCCUGCUCAAAAACAAACAGUAAAACUCAAGUGUCUUGGGUCAUUUAUUAACCCUUCUUAAAAAGAGAAAGAUUUACUAACCUAGUCAAGCCGAGUUUCGCCGUCGCCAGCAAUUUGACCUUUAUUUGACUGCAGCUGCGCCGUAGCCUUGGCUACGCAUCACGUGACUCGCCGCGUCCAGCUCCGCCGGCAUGGCUUGGCGCAUGCGCUCUCUGGAGCGGGGUCGCCGCCAGACCACGUGACUCGCGGCGUGCCUGCCUAAAGGAAACGCCGCGCUCGGGAUGGAUGAGAGCGAGGUCGGGCCGUCUUCUCUGAGCGUUGCGCGGGAGCGGGAGGCUUUGAGCCAUCGUCGUCAAGGGGCGUCUCACCUCCCAGCGAAUAUCACCCGGCGGCAUAUAUUGAAAAUCUAGAACGCACAGCACCUUAGCAACAGCGGUAGAACCAGAUUGGUGGAAACGGUGACGCUUGACGCCCUUUUCAACCGCUGUGAGAGUA
This is a long non-coding RNA of Dermacentor silvarum, 2596 nucleotides long. RefSeq lists it as uncharacterized. NCBI's taxonomy places the organism in Eukaryota, Metazoa, Arthropoda, Arachnida, Ixodida, Ixodidae. The transcript has 3 exons. The record is from RefSeq and is a predicted model, not a curated record.